This is a long non-coding RNA of Tribolium castaneum (red flour beetle), 5350 nucleotides long. RefSeq lists it as uncharacterized. Lineage: Eukaryota; Metazoa; Arthropoda; Insecta; Coleoptera; Tenebrionidae. The transcript is spliced from 2 exons. The record is from RefSeq and is a predicted model, not a curated record.
UUUUUUUGAGUUUUUGUUGUAUUUAGUCAAAAUCCGAGAACCGUGUCGCGCUUUGGGCCCUUGUGGCGAUUGUAUCGUCCUUGUAGAAAAGUCUCCUCACCGGAAUGAUUUAUGGCCGCCUGGCCCCGAUAAUUAUUUUGGUAACGUCAAAACACUGGCGACAAAUGGCCCAUUUAGAUCUCUCUACGAUAUUUUAAAUGAAAUCGUCAGUUUUGACAUGAUGCGACUGAAUCGUAAAAUUUUAAUCGUCGAUUCAUCAUAAAUCCGGACACUUUUAAAUUCUAAUCCCGAAUUGAAUCAUCGUGCCCACAAAUUGACAGUCCACGGCGCGAGAUAAAAAAUUAAUUAAAACGUUACGUUUGGAGCCAUUAUAAAAUUCCAUAAUUAAUUUGGAAUCGUUUAAUUGACUAUAAAGUCGCGGUCGUGCCGGUCAUAUUCUUUAAUUAAAUCAAUUUGUUUCGAUCUGGAUGGCGAGCGAAGUCGUUUCGAUUUUAAUAAAAACGCAAAACGAGUCGACAAGUGAAAUCCAAGCCCGGAAAAAAUCCGUGUUAAGUACUCGGGUACUUAGCACGCGGCUCGUAAAGAUGCGGGAUGAUAAGGCCGAAUAUCCCGUAAUUGGGUGAAAUUAUGGCCGACUUUUAGCUUUUGUUCUCCUCCAGAGUGUGCCUCGGCGUCGAAAAAAUCCACCCAUUUUCCACCGAGACAUUCUUUAAUUGCUUUCGGACGAAAAGAUAUUUAUCUGCGUAUGUGUGUAAUGCGAAUUAAAAUUGAAAUGCCAUUUUUAUUAACGUUCCAAUAUAUCAAAAUUUAUGUCAGGACUGCUCUGCUUUAUUGUUUUGAUUUUUUCAAAGGUCGCUCACUGCACCGGACUCGAUGGUAUUAAGUGAAUCAGGGGCGGAUUAGGUCCAGUUGCUGCAAGGACGAGUGCAGGCGCCACGGGGGACACGCACCGUAAUUGAAUUUCAUACAAACCGGACGAAAAACUAGAUAUGAAACAUAGUGGUCGCAAAAAUUCGAGCUACAAACAUUUGAAUUAACCACAAACUCUGAAAAUGAAAAUUAUUAUUAAAACUAAGCACAUGUUUAUUUUGCGAUUUUGGUCGUGUAGAGCCUGGUGCGGUUAUCGCUUUCGAGAAGAGUUCGAUCGGAAGAAAGAUAUAAUCUGUAUAAGAAAAUUUCACACGAUAUCUCGCAAUUUGUCGCACAUACUAAGCGCGCAAGUGUAAAAGAAUGUGGUAGGAUAAGAAUUUUUUCGCUUGUUGUAAGUCGCCGUCUUGUACUUAUAGCACAAAUGCGGUGUUUAUAUGCGCUUUUGUGCCAUCGUAAUCCCAAGAUUUUCACAAUUUUUUCCGAUAAUCGGUCCGAUAGUGAAAGCGUCUUAUCGACAUUUAAAACGCUAUUAAUCGCUUCUGAGAGAUGAAUCAAUCUGUGUGAGAAUUUAAAUUGCGCUUAAUGGCCUACACGUAACGAAAAAACCCAAAUAGCUCCGAUUCGAGUGCGAUUUCAAAUCACUUUCUUAUCGAUGUAAUUAAAGUUUUAUCUAAAAAUGUGUAAUCUUAUCGAGGGAUUAUUUAAAAGGCCCCGAAUACAACUUAAUGAAUGAAGAUAUAUCUAGUCCCGGCACGCAAUAUUUGUAUUUCUAAUUACGGUUUCGUUGACCGGGAAUAAUUCCGGUUAUUUUUAAAUCGUGCGACUUUCGGCCUGCGUAUUGGUAGCAGGAAUGCCGUCCUAUUUGCAUACAAUGUGCCCUUAAACAACACACUUUUCUAGUGGCUUUUUACUCCCGGACAAUUGCGACUAAAUAAAUAAAAAUCUCAUUCUUUUUCCGCCCGAAAUUGUUACGGCGAAUGAUUGACGAGCGCUGUGUGGCCGUCGGCGGCGUUCUUGAGCUUUUUGCUAGCUCGUCCGGAGCUAUUUUUUAAUGUGCGGUAAGGGCUGCCGGAGAUUUCAACGCGAGCGCAGGCACAGCCCCGUUUUCACGGUACAUUAGGCAUCGCGGUCGCCGGCAAAUUUCGAUUUAAAUUAAAAAUGCAAUACGAUAAAUCAGUCUGGUAGUGCGCGUUCGGUAGUGGCUGCAUUCUCCGUGUUCGUGAUCGGCCUCCGAAAACGCGCUCUUUUUUGACAUCGCCUCCGUGAGAAAAUGCAAAGAGAAGGGCCCGGCGACAGGGGCGGAUUUCGGACACGUCUAACGACGGAAAUAAUGCACCGAUAAAUGGUGUAAUUGAGCGAUAAGUGAGCGAAUCGCCGUCGUCGCCGAUAAAAGAACGAAAGAAGAAACGACCAGAGGAAUUGUCCAACCGACCUUCCAAUACGUGGACGACGUUCUAAAGACAGCGGUCACUGUCCAAGACAAGACCGGCAGUCUUGUAGACUUCUUGCAGGCUCACACAUACAUUAAGGACAGGGGCGGACUGCAGCGGACGCGAUGCGAAAAAAGCAAACAAUGCUACAUUGGAAAAGCAUUAAUUGGGAGAUCAGUAUGGAGUUUACGACCGGGAGAGACCCGGUUUUAAUGUCCGAGACUUUUUUUCGACAUAUUCAAACCGGGCGGACGAUCGAUUCGUUCAAUACGCCGAUAAUGACACUCAAACAAGUUAAACACAAUUGCUUCCACAACCAUUAUCAGCCACAGCUUCCUAGUAUCUCGAUGAACUUGUUGAAACGUCGUAACACAAUCAAAAAAUAUCUCUUUGUUGCAGCAACUUACUUGCAUUAGCCUUUUAGUUUCAAGUGGUAUUGAAACAUUUUUACUUAGGUACUUUAAAAAACAUCAAAUUUUUACGAUAAUAAAUUUUGGUAAUGGGGUUACGUCAAAAGUUCCGAAGUUAUUGUCCGCUGGAUUUCAAAAUCAUCACACUCAUUUUUCAAACGUCAAUUACAGAAAAACAAUUCGACAAAGUUGAACUAUUUUAUUGUAAGCUUAUGUAGAAUGAUCUAGGGAAUCGACUGGCGUUUAAAAAAUCGCCAAAUUCUCAAUAGUUAUUAAGUUUUUUUUUUCAAUUUUUGCUUUUGUAUGCAAUUGUCUCGAAAAUUAUUAAUCGGAAAACAGUGUACUUUUUUGAAAAAAAAAAUACUAAAAGAGUUUUUUAAUGACAAUAGGUAAACUUAAUAAUAACCUGGAGUUACGUCUAACAGUUCCGGUGUUAUUAUACGAUGAAUGCCAAAAACACGGUAAAAUAUUCACAAAAUCACUUUUCAAACGUAAAUUACGGCAAAACUAAUGAAGAAGGAAAACUACUUUGAUGUGAGCCAAUGUAAAUUGUUCUGGGGAAUCGACUGGCGUCGAGAAAAUGGCCACAUUCUCAAUGGUUUUUAAGAUAUAUUUUUUUAAAUGUUUGUUUUGUUUGCAUUUUUUUCGAAAAAUAUUAAUCGAAAAACAUUGUACUUUUUGAAAAAAAACUAUUAAAAAAGCUUUCUAUCAAUAAUAAACUUAUUGUUAAUAAACUUAUUAAUAGUAAGUUAUGUCUAAUUUUUUUUUCGGUUUCGGUUUCGGUUAUUUUUUUCAUUUUUGUUAACUACUUUUGAGACUUUCUUAAGCAACACAACAUUGCUUACUUACUUGAGAAAAGAGGGUAGGUAUCAGAUGGAAUUUUAAAUUUAAAUUUUUAAUUGCUUAGGUUUUAUUACGGACUUGAGUUGCAUUAGGUGAUUUGGAUACAUUUUGGAAGUAAUAAAAAUUCUUAUCUUCGUUAUAAAUUUUUUGUUGAAUAAUUUCGAACCGGAGAGAAGGUCCAACAAAUCAAGAGUGACAGUUUCGUGUGCGCGUGUUAAAAAAACCAUUAAACCAUUUUUUUAUAAAGCGGCUACUUGAUUAUGGUUUAUCGCCUAUCCUGUCACAAUAUUCCGCCGACGAAAGAAAUCUUUUAUCCGAAGUGGUCGACCAGGUGCACAAGCCUCAUGUUAGAACCGUCAAGCUUCAAGAUUUCACCUACUCGCGUCGGCUUUGACUUAUUACUUUCUGAUAACAACGUCUCGUUCCGUGAUAUAUUAGCAGUCGUUUGAGUUUAUUUCCUUGUAAUUUUUCGUGGUUGAGGCGUCGCCACCUGUCAUUAGUUCUAUCCGCGACCUAUUAGCACCUGUGACCCCUCCGUCUAUGGUCGCGACAGGUCCGAUAUUUAUGGUGGUAGCGUUGGUAGCUGUGGAGUUUGUUUCAGAGGCCGCUCUCAGCGGGACAUCAGCUUUGACGCGUCUUCCGCUAACGCGAGCUUUCAGCGCCGCUGCGUAUUAAUAUUAUCCGGCGACAAGAUCCGGUCGUGAGUCGGCAUUCGGGCUAUUCCAGGCGUGCUUUUUGCACCGCUUGUCGCUCACGAAUGAAAUAUGCACCCGUCGCAAACGGAAUUAAUGGCACCAGAAAUCCUAAAUUAACAAUACGCACUUAAUCAGAGAAAUGUUCAGAAAUAUGUCGACGGGAUUGUCAACAUGACACUCGCACGCCGAAUAUGGAAGCGGGCCGAAUUCGCAACGGCUCUAAGCUAAUUUUUACGAAAGCGUGGCGAUUUGUCAGCGAGGCCUACAUUGCGCGGACGCAAAUCCGCCCGAAAGUGGCACAGGAAUUAGCAAAGGCAAUUUUUUUACCCCAAACUAAUAAACUGUUCAAACACUUACUUUACAUGCGAAAACCGACCUAAUUUCAAAGCGAUUCGAGUUUUUAUAUCUAAUAAAAUAUAUUUCCUGUUGGGUUUUUCUUCACAUUUCAUCAGGGCUCAGCCUAUUUCUUCAAAAUUUUUCUGAAUAUUAAGUUAAAAGCUGCUAAGAAAAGCAUUUUGUCUCAUGGCUUUUAACAACAAAUCAGAAUAACUUAUUUGAAAAAAUAUUUUUGCAAAAAUUAUACCAUUUUUUAAAUUUCUCCUCGCAAUAUCACUCCAUCUUUAAAAAAAAAAAAAAUAAGACAUCAGUCGCUGUGGUAUUCGAGUGAUAUUCUACGAGUAAUACAGUCUUGCAAUAGUUGGAACAAAUCGUUCUUAUUGAGAAAUUUUAGGAAAACUGCCAAAAAUUAAAAUAAAAUAGUAAUAAAAUAGUGCACAAUAGAUUUUAUUGAUAUUGAAAGGGUUGAUAAAAACCUCAGUAGUAAAACCUCUCAACAACGGACCCCGAUGGGGAACCCUCAAUUGUCCGUCGUAGAGAGGUGUCCGCUAAUGGGAGGUGGAAAUUUUAAUAUAGGUUUUGUUGCGUUUCUACAAAAAUGUCCGUUGUGAAGAGGUGUCCGUUAAGGGAGAUUUCACUGUAUUAAAAAUCUCAAAAUUGGGCGUCUACGUUUUAUUUGUGUAUUUUUGUUAAGUGUUUCUUUUAAUUAAAUCAGUUAGCACUAAGAAAAUGGUUGGUGACAGAAAUAAAGCGUUGUAUCUCUUUA